CAGUAGCCGCGGUAAUACGAAGGGGGCUAGCGUUGUUCGGAAUUACUGGGCGUAAAGGGCGCGUAGGCGGCCAUUCAAGUUAGAUGUGAAAGCCCUGGGCUUAACCUAGGAAUUGCAUUUGAUACUAUUUGGCUUGAGUUCGGGAGAGGUGAGUGGAAUUCCCAGUGUAGAGGUGAAAUUCGUAGAUAUUGGGAAGAACACCAGUGGCGAAGGCGGCACACUGGACCGACACUGACGCUGAGGCGCGAAAGCGUGGGGAGCAAACAGGAUUAGAUACCCCGGUAGUCCCUGUCUCUUAUAC
This 301-nucleotide ribosomal RNA is filed under the name uncultured bacterium. RNAcentral describes it as "partial 16S ribosomal RNA". It matches the Rfam family "Bacterial small subunit ribosomal RNA", at positions 509 to 807 of the family's 1533-position model. The record is from RNAcentral.